GCGUGGCCCAAUGGAUAAGGCGUUCCCCUCCUAAGGGAAAGAUUGCGAGUUCGAGUCUCGCCGC
Molecule: transfer RNA, 64 nt
Filed under: Rhodella violacea
Lineage: Eukaryota; Rhodophyta; Rhodellophyceae; Rhodellales; Rhodellaceae
Rfam family: tRNA
About the family: Transfer RNA (tRNA) molecules are approximately 80 nucleotides in length. Their secondary structure includes four short double-helical elements and three loops (D, anti-codon, and T loops).
Source: RNAcentral